AUGUGAUCGUCUCUCGCAUAUCAAUAAGCGGAGGAAAAGAAACUAACAAGGAUUCCCCUAGUAACGGCGAGUGAAGCGGGAAGAGCUCAAAUUUGAAAUCUUAAAGGGUUUUCCCUUUACGAAUUGUAGUUUAAAGAAGUGUUUUCUGUUGAGGUUUUGGUAAAAGUUCUUUGGAAUAGGACAUCAUAGAGGGUGAGAAUCCCGUAUUUGACCUUUACUUUCAACUUUGUGAUACACUUUCCAAAGAGUCGGAUUGUUUGGGAAUGCAGUCCAAAAUGGGUGGUAAAUUUCAUCUAAAGCUAAAUAUUGGCGAGAGACCGAUAGCGAACAAGUACCGUGAGGGAAAGAUGAAAAGAACUUUGAAAAGAGAGUUAAACAGUACGUGAAAUUGUCAAAAGGGAAGCGUUUGACACCAGUGUUGUUUUUCUGAAAAUCAAUUAAAGAACUGUUUAUGCUAAGCUGUUUAGACUUUAUCAGCUAUCUGUUUAGUUUUUAGGCUUUUCUUUAAUGCACUUUUCAGUUAACAAGUCAACAUCAAUUUCUUUUGCUGUAAAAAAGCUUGAGGAAGGUGGCUUGAGAUUCGUCUUAAGUGUUUAUAGCCUCUUGCCUAUGCAGUCGGAGAGAUUGAGGUCUGCAGCGUAGAUCCUUCGGGGCUAAAUGCAUUUGUGCUAAGUUAUAGCAUUUUAUAGACGACUUGUUGACUAUGAUUUGUCUUGUAGCUUACUCGCUUAUGUUAUUUUACCUACGCUUAGGAUGUUGAUCUACAGAGCGAGAGU
This 776-nucleotide ribosomal RNA is filed under the name uncultured Neocallimastigales. RNAcentral's name for it is "partial large subunit ribosomal RNA". It matches the Rfam family "Eukaryotic large subunit ribosomal RNA", at positions 24 to 635 of the family's 3401-position model. Lineage: Eukaryota; Fungi; Neocallimastigomycota; Neocallimastigomycetes; Neocallimastigales. The record is from RNAcentral.